AACGUAGGAGACAAACGUUAUCCGGAGUUACUGGGCGUAAAGGGCGUGUAGGUGGUUUCGUAAGUCUGGCGUGAAAUUUUUCGGCUUAACCGGGAAAGGUCGUCGGAUACUGCGGAACUAGAGGACGGUAGAGGCGUGUGGAAUUCCGGGUGUAGUGGUGAAAUGCGUAGAGAUCCGGAGGAAUACCAGUGGCGAAGGCGACACGCUGGGCCGUACCUGACACUGAUGCGCGACAGCAUGGGGAGCAAACAGG
This 253-nucleotide ribosomal RNA is filed under the name uncultured bacterium. RNAcentral's name for it is "partial 16S ribosomal RNA". It matches the Rfam family "Bacterial small subunit ribosomal RNA", at positions 524 to 776 of the family's 1533-position model. The record is from RNAcentral.